AUCGCUUUGAAGUGCCACACCUUAAAGCUGACGUUUUCAGAAGAGAACCUUGUUGUUUUAAGGUCUCAUUUUGUCAAAAUUUUGUAUGACUGAUAUAACGUUAAUACUUAUUUCAUUAUUGCUCUGUGUAUGUGUGACCUUCAUCAUUUGAGGUUAUGUGUUGAUUUCACCUCUGAAUAUUUCCUCUUAUAGGUCCAUCAUCCUUGCACACACUCAAAAGCAUUGAUAAAUGCUGAAUUUAAAAGAAUCACUACUGUCUAAUGUUCCUGCGUGUCACCUGGACCUCCAAUCCAAAAACCUGACGAAACUCUUCUAUCAGAAAGGAGGACAGCUAGCAAAAAGGCUUGGAACAAUCAAUGAUCAAAUGACAGAAGGCAUGGAUGAAGUCAGCAUCAGUGAGGUCAUUUGAAGACACCACUGUUGGGAUUUGUGCUCUCAAACAACAUGCUUCUUGUGAUGAAGAAGAGGAUCUUUGUAUAGUCCUGGAAGCCAUGAAGGUGUUGCAACAUCGUGCCAUGUUGUUUGAGCUGAUGUAUGCCUUAAACCUGAGCUAUCCUGAUCUCCGCUUUAUUUUUGAGGAAAUCCAAAAGAUUUUAAUGGAACUGCAUUGAGCGUAACUUUAACGAACCGUUUCUUUCAGUGAAAGGAUCAGAAAGACUGUGCUGCUCAUGUUCCUUUUAUUUAUCUUUUUUAAGUGUUUUCUCUUAUUAAAACAUUAACAGUUUGCUGCUCAGAGUUGAUUUUGGAAAUGGUUGUUGUAUUUUGUUUUUGUUGAAUCUUUGAUUAUCAGUUUAUACAAAUGCUGUAGCUCUGACUUUCUGAAGGAUUGAUAUUUUCCAGUUUGUAAAUCCAUUUAAAAAAUAAUAGUACUUACUGUUUUGCAUGUCUCUUUGGAAUGCAGUGUUUGUGCUUUAGCACUUCUAAAUCUACUGUGAUAGUAACUAUUUUAAACAUUUGGGUCAGUUUCACAGAUGGGGCUUUUCCUAGUCCCAGACUUUUGCAAUGCCUUAAUUUGAAAACAUAUUGCACUGACAUAUCUUGACAUAUAUCAGUGCCAUUGUUUUGUCUCAAGAUGUACUCCAGUGUUGUUUUUGUAAUGUAGGUUUGUUUGUAAACUUUUUUUGUAAAAAAUAUCCUAAUAUAACUAGGGCCUAGUCAUGGAUUAAUCUACAACCUGUUUCGGAAAUUGCCCCUUUGUAUGUACUGCAUGUGCUGAUUGUUGUAAUAGUUAUUGACUGUUAAUGAAUUAAUGUGUAGUGAUUUAAAUUAAUUGAUGAUCUGAAAGCAGUGGUUUGCCUCAAUAUCACUAAACAUUUGUUCAAAACUCUUUGCUUUUUAUGCCAAUGCAAAUGUAUUUUGUAUUUAAAAAAGAAAUAAAUAACAUUUGGAUAAUUAUGGGUGAUUAUUCUGGGGCCAGAGACAUAAUGAAAUUGCUUUAGAGUUACAUAAUCCCAUAAUAUAAGCAUUAAAAAAGCAUGUUGGAAUUACAGAUGAAAAUCUAGUCCCCUUACAUAAUAAAAUUACUUAAACAUUACAAAAUAAAUGUGUUAUAGUAAAGAGAAAUAGCACUUUGAGUCAACAUAUUUAUAUUAGACUACUUAAAACAAUUAAAAUGUUUUGGUCUGACACAUAAAAAUUAAAUGAGGAAAAUUAUGUUGGUUUUACACAAUCGGAUUAUGUGGGACCGAUGUACACAUUAAAAUUACGUAAAUUGAAAGGAUU
This is a long non-coding RNA of Paramisgurnus dabryanus, 1722 nucleotides long. RefSeq lists it as uncharacterized. The record is from RefSeq and is a predicted model, not a curated record. Lineage: Eukaryota; Metazoa; Chordata; Actinopteri; Cypriniformes; Cobitidae.